Long non-coding RNA from Dermochelys coriacea (leatherback sea turtle), 259 nucleotides. RefSeq lists it as uncharacterized. NCBI's taxonomy places the organism in Eukaryota, Metazoa, Chordata, Testudines, Dermochelyidae. The transcript has 3 exons. The record is from RefSeq and is a predicted model, not a curated record.
GUUUAGACUCAGAGACCUACUUGAGCGGGGGGGAAUCACCAGACAAGAAUCAUUUCUGUGAUUAGAAACCUAAGCCCUUGGAGAAAUGCAAAACUGCCAGAAGAGACUCAUCGAUUCACAACAGCACUCCAAACAACUGGAAGUGAUGCAGCAACACUGUCGAGAGAGACGUUUCCCAGGUAGAAGCAGGCAGGGCAUAUUCACAGCCUGGGUCACCAGUAAAGUAUGAUUUAGAGCAGCCACAAGCAAAACGUCAGAG